This 231-nucleotide ribosomal RNA is filed under the name uncultured bacterium. RNAcentral's name for it is "partial 16S ribosomal RNA". It matches the Rfam family "Bacterial small subunit ribosomal RNA", at positions 118 to 347 of the family's 1533-position model. The record is from RNAcentral.
UGAGCAACCUGCCCCUGACUCUGGGAUAACCCCGGGAAACCGGAGCUAAUACCGGAUACGACACGCGAAGGCAUCUUCUGCGUGUAGAAAGAUUUAUCGGUCAGGGAUGGACUCGCGGCCUAUCAGCUUGUUGGUGGGGUAACGGCCCACCAAGGCGACGACGGGUAGCCGGCCUGAGAGGGCGACCGGCCACACUGGGACUGAGACACGGCCCAGACUCCUACGGGAGCA